This is a long non-coding RNA of Bubalus bubalis (water buffalo), 1297 nucleotides long. RefSeq lists it as uncharacterized. The record is from RefSeq and is a predicted model, not a curated record. NCBI's taxonomy places the organism in Eukaryota, Metazoa, Chordata, Mammalia, Artiodactyla, Bovidae. The transcript is spliced from 4 exons.
AGUUUGAACGAGCCUCUUGCAGUGCAAAGGAAGGAUCUGGAAGGUCUUUCUGAGGGAGGUCUCAGCAACAUGGAGUUCCCUGGGCACCUUGGAAGGAGCGUGGGCACCGCCAUGCUGGCUUGUGGCAGAAAUGGAGUUGGGGUCUUGCCUCUUACGGCCUGCCUUCUUCAUGUGGACUUCCUGCCCUCUUAGGGGUUCGAAACAGAGGUCAAAUCAAGAGCAUUCAGCAGCUGCAGCAGUGGGUGCCCCACCUACAUCCCCCAGCCUUCUCCACCUCCUGCUCCUCUCAAGGAACUUUCUCUGCCGCAGCCAGCUCUUGCCCCUCUAUCAGAGCACCAUCCGCUGCCGGUAACAGCUUGUCUGGCAGCCCACUGACCCCACUGGGCCCCCAGGACGCACCCAUCAGCAGCGGGUAGUUGUGCCUCGGGACUCGCCAGGCUCCUGAGUUGACACAACCUCAGACAGCUUCCUGACACCUUUCUGCUCCACCAGGCUGGUGCCCCAGCUUCCCAUUUUCUGAGGAUCAGGAAUUUGAGAGCAACUCAGUUGGGUAGUUUUGGCUCAGGAUCUUCAAAUUGUUGGCCGAGACUGUGGUUAUCUGAGAGCUGGAGGGCGACCGAAGAACCCAGUUCCAAGAUGAAUCACUCGUGGCCGUUGGCAGGAGGCCUCAGUUCCCACCACAUGGAUGCUUGAGUAUCCUUACAACAUGGCAGCUGGCUUCUCCCAGAGCAAGUGGUCCCAAAGAGAACAAGGUGGCGUCUUCAUUAUCUUCUAUGGUCCAGGCUCGAAAGACACAUUGUUUCUGCUUUAUCCUGUUAACUACACAGGUCAGCCCUGGUUAACAUGGGAGAGGACCACACAGGGGCAUGAAUGGUCAGAGUUAAGAAUUAUGGGGGUCCCCUGGAGGCUGCCAACCACACACAUGGUCCUGCACCUUGUUUUAUCCCACAUAAUUCUCGAUCAAUACGCAGUGGCUUUCUCUCUUUAGGUGCAUGGUGUCCCAUGCGGGCGCACCAUGAUUUAUUUAUGUAGUCCUCUGUUGAGACCUCCUAUCAGGGUUGUUCUUGGUUUUUUGCUCUUACAGUCAGGGCUGUAAUGACUGUUUUUGUACAGGAAUUAUUUCCAGUAUCUCUGGAGGAGGAAUACCUGGGGAUAGAAUGGCUAAGUCAAAGGUUGUGGUGCUUUGAAAAUGUAGUCAUAAAAAUUUUUGAUAUUUCUUGGAUUGAGAAAUAGAGUCCCUGUCUCCUCCACUAAGUCCGAGUGGCCUUUUUAAAAAAAAAAAAAAAAGAAUUACCAC